GGCACAAAUAAAAAGUUAACCCCAAGCACGGCGUUGAUAUCAUCCAACGAAAAUUGCGUACGGGUCAGUAGAGCAGGAUAUCACCUUGUUCGGAAUCCUAAUCGGGGGGACCGCGGAAAUACUAGAGCUAAAUACAAGCAACUAUGCCCCAACAUAAGGUGUUGGUGCAUUUAUUAGAACAAGACCAAAAUGUUUGGGGACAUUUGUCUGAUGACUCCGAAUAAAGCAGUUUACCGUCGGUUUCGAUCGACUCUAUCCGAACAGGGGUGUAUGCCCUUUCAAUUAGAUGUUAGUUCAUUGGGCUCCCAUGGUUGUUACGGGUAACGGAGAAUUGUGGUUCGACUCCAAAGAGGGAGCCUUUGAAACCGUCACCACGUCCAAAGAAGGCAGCAGGCGCGAAACUUAUACACAUCUGAGUAUGAGGUCAUGAUUAAAAAUAUAAAGACUCUGGCUUGUGGAUCAGUUAUUUCAAUGACCUGAAUACAAUUGAUUCCUUGAGAAGCAAGGUGAGGGCAAGUCUGUCACCAGGACCCCCGGUAAUUCCAGCUCUCCUAGUGUGUCU
This 562-nucleotide non-coding RNA is filed under the name Caenorhabditis remanei. RNAcentral describes it as "Eukaryotic small subunit ribosomal RNA". It matches the Rfam family "Eukaryotic small subunit ribosomal RNA", at positions 56 to 602 of the family's 1831-position model. The record is from Rfam by way of RNAcentral. Lineage: Eukaryota; Metazoa; Nematoda; Chromadorea; Rhabditida; Rhabditidae.